Molecule: long non-coding RNA, 2388 nt
Organism: Lathyrus oleraceus (garden pea)
Lineage: Eukaryota; Viridiplantae; Streptophyta; Magnoliopsida; Fabales; Fabaceae
Exons: 8
Source: RefSeq, a predicted model, not a curated record
UCCUCAACCUUUUCUCACCUCUCACAACCUCUCAUUCACUCACCUCUCACGACCUCGUCAAUCUUAACCCUCGUCACCCUCGAUGAAUGUCUCUCAAAAUCUCGAACUCAAUCAAGUAAUAAAGCAAUGGCUGAACAAAAACUAACCUUCGGCGGUGACAACGGCAACGAUGAAGCUCACAGGGUUACAAAUUGGUGCCCUUGUGUUCAAAAGUAACUCUGCAAAGCACUUUGGAUGCUCAGAAAUUGGAUUUACCUUUUCCAUGUUAGAUUCAAGAAAAGGCUAGUGGAUUUGGACUAGGUAUACUUGCAGUAUUUCUUCAUGAUGCAUGGCAAUAAGGAUUCAAAAUAAGACCAUUGUAAUAUAGUAGUGGAAACAGGGUCUGCUGAUGUUUUUGUUCAGUAGGUUCGACCCUGCUCAACUUGCCUCUGCAACUUGAUUUUGCAACAUGAUACUUGCUCCAGGAUCAAAUUUCUACCGGCUAGUUCCAAUGUCCAUUUCUUUGCUUUAUGGGUAUCGCGGUUCAUGGUUGUUGCAUUGCUUUGGUGGUACAAGUUUGUUCAAAUGGAAUUGCUUCAAAUCAUUUGCUCUAAGUUCAGUCAUCACGCCAUGACCUUAUGGAAUUCAAGUUUUGAUUUGGCAGCUGCGGGACCAUGAUGACAGGAUGCUAGUACAAGGUAUGUCAAGGACCAGUUCAGCAAGGUAAAGAUUGGUUGUCAAGGCAAAGGAUCCAAGUCAUGGUAUAAUGGUCAUGAAUAUGAAAAUGAGCUAAGUUACUUGGAAAUGAAGAAACAAGGGAAAACACAACCAACAUGGUUGUUGGAUGAUGAAUUAAGGCAAAGUAGCAUGGGAUUAGGUCCAAGUUUGGGAAAUUUAUUGAAUGUCUUUGGUAUUUUGCAGGGUGUUGUUAUGUUAACACAAGUUGGCGGCUAACUUCAACUUUUACUUCACCAUUCCGCUUCUGUUUUGAUAGGAACAACUGUUGGUUUUGACGGUGUGCAUCAUCUAUAUGUGCUACAUGAGAUGCUUUGGAUUUUUGCUUGGGAUGCUUUGCCGGUGUGUGAACUGUUUUGUGAGCUGCUAGCAGCGGUUUAGGUUUAGUAUGGCAGGGGUAUUUUUUUACAGCAUUUUGGCAAUUACACUAUUCGUUUCACAUUGCCAAUCUAUUGUAGAUUGGUUAGUCAAGCGCCAUUACGGCUACUGAAUUAGUAUCGCAAGUACCGCUGCCUUUGGGCUACCUCAUUGUGUUGUAUAGCUUUUGAUUUGGGUUUUCCAGGAACCGCAUAGGUUACCUUGUGGGUUUCACUGCAGGUUUCCGUGUUGCUUUUGUUGCUGUUGUUGAGAUUGCAUCUGAAGCUUAUGUCUCAAAAGCUGUUGGUUGUACAGAUACUGUUGUGGAUUCUGUGACUGUUGCUGCUGUUGUUGAGGAACAACUUGCUGCCUCCCUUGCAUUUGUCUCUGGGAAGCAUUAAACAUAUUUUGAAUGUUGGAAAUUUGAAUGUUUGAAUUCUGGCCAACAUUCGGGAUGGGAGCCUGGGCUAGACCAGAUACAGGUGGAAGGUUGGGCUGAGAUGCAAUAUUAUUUUGAAUGUUUUGAGAUAGAAGCUGUUGGCGUGGCUGCGGCUGAUUGGGCAAAGGAAUAGGAUGCUGCUGCCCUUGAUUGUGAACUUGAGACUGCAUAGCAUCCUGUAAAAUAUGCUUCACAUUAUAACCUUGCUUUUAUUUAUUCAUUGUUUCACUUAUGAUCAAACUGCUAUGGAACUGUUCUCGUGCUUUUGUUUCAUCGUUCUGGUUAAGCUUCCCAGGUGAACCUUGUCUUGUUUCCCUCUUGAUUUUGGUCGAAACUUUCACUUUCCAUACACACCGCCGGUAUUUGCUUGCAGUGACUUUGGGUUGGAACAGCGGGGAUAUCGAUUUAACUUGGCAUGUUGUUGCUGCAGGUUCUAUGUUGAUUUCUGACUUAGAUUUCUAUGUGUGGCAUGAGCUGUUUUGAUGCCUUGCUAGAUAUGUAUUGGUUGCAUUGCUUGCUGCAGUUUGUUGUUUGAUGGCAGGUUGGAGGCUUUGGCUAGGUGAUGUGGUGUACUGUGAGUAGGGAACUUGGUUGCACUUUCCAUGAGCACAUUCCUGUGGUGCUGCUGCAGUUUAUUAUUUGGUGGCUAUGUGGAGUAGCAACUGGUGUUAGGAUCAUGUGGUAACAGAUUUUUUGUUGUAAAAUGGUACAGGUUAGGAAUGACCAUUGAAAAUUCAUGGUUUUGGAGUUUUGAAUUGGUUUGUUCAAUGGGACUUACUUGCAAAUGAAGUAAACAAGAAAAAUCAUCAACAAACAUGAAGAUUGGAUGACACAAUGAAACAAAGGGCCAGGCCAAGUUUGGAUAGUCAAGAGCAAGU